GCAACAUAUUAAAAUGAUUUUGAAAGUCAUUACAGGUAUUUAAUUAUUACCAUGUUGUU
Molecule: transfer RNA, 59 nt
Filed under: Hediste japonica
Lineage: Eukaryota; Metazoa; Annelida; Polychaeta; Phyllodocida; Nereididae
Description: tRNA-Ser
Source: RNAcentral